CAUGCAAGUCGAACGGUAACAGGAAUUAGCUUGCUAAUUUGCUGACGAGUGGCGCACGGGUGCGUAACGCGUAUACAAUCUGCCUUUUACAGGGGGAUAGCCCAGAGAAAUUUGGAUUAAUACCCCAUAGUAUUAUUAAUUGGCAUCAAUAAAUAAUUAAAGCUUCGGCGGUAAAAGAUGAGUAUGCGUUCUAUUAGCUAGUAGGUAUGGUAACGGCAUACCUAGGCAACGAUAGAUAGGGGCCCUGAGAGGGGGAUCCCCCACGCUGGUACUGAGACACGGACCAGACUCCUACGGGAGGCAGCAGUGAGGAAUAUUGGACAAUGGGCGAGAGCCUGAUCCAGCCAUGCCGCGUGCAGGAUGACUGCCCUAUGGGUUGUAAACUGCUUUUAUACAGGAAGAAACUGCUCUACGUGUAGAGCCCUGACGGUACUGUAAGAAUAAGGAUCGGCUAACUCCGUGCCAGCAGCCGCGGUAAUACGGAGGAUCCAAGCGUUAUCCGGAAUCAUUGGGUUUAAAGGGUCCGUAGGUGGAUAAUUAAGUCAGAGGUGAAAUCCUGCAGCUCAACUGUAGAAUUGCCUUUGAUACUGGUUAUCUUGA
This 600-nucleotide ribosomal RNA is filed under the name uncultured Bacteroidota bacterium. Its description in RNAcentral is "bacterial SSU rRNA". It matches the Rfam family "Bacterial small subunit ribosomal RNA", at positions 54 to 645 of the family's 1533-position model. The record is from RNAcentral. Lineage: Bacteria; Pseudomonadati; Bacteroidota.